UACGGAGGGUGCGAGCGUUAAUCGGAAUCACUGGGCGUAAAGCGCGCGUAGGCGGUGGGAUGAGUCAGAUGUGAAAGCCCUGGGCUCAACCUGGGAAUUGCAUUUGAUACUGUCCGGCUGGAGUCUGGUAGAGGAGGGUAGAAUUCCCGGUGUAGCGGUGAAAUGCGUAGAGAUCGGGAGGAAUAUCAGUGGCGAAGGCGGCCCUCUGGACCAAGACUGACGCUGAGGUGCGAAAGCGUGGGGAGCAAACAGG
Molecule: ribosomal RNA, 253 nt
Filed under: uncultured bacterium
Lineage: Bacteria
Description: partial 16S ribosomal RNA
Rfam family: Bacterial small subunit ribosomal RNA
Source: RNAcentral